GUGAGAGGGCGUGCUGCUAGAGGACUGUGGAGUACAAACAUCAGGAGGAAGGUCGUGUGGAUUCCCUGCCUACCUACCUUCUCUCUGGCUGUUUAGAACCUAAUUAUGCCCUGAUUGUACAGUUUCUCAUCUCAAUUCACUUUUAUUGUUGGGAAUCAAUGAAGAAACCAGAAGAUGAGCAAACAAAGACCAAAUCCAGGAUGAGAAACACCUUAGCUUGCGAUUCAAUAGACUUUACACACUUUGUUCUGGAUCAUGGUGUAGUG
Molecule: long non-coding RNA, 266 nt
Organism: Mauremys reevesii (Reeves's turtle)
Lineage: Eukaryota; Metazoa; Chordata; Testudines; Geoemydidae
Exons: 3
Source: RefSeq, a predicted model, not a curated record